ACUCGUCAUGCUUCUCCCUCAAGGAUGGUAAGACCAUAGAAGUGAUAUACUCCUCAAAAGAUUCACGGUAUUUAUCGUAUAGCUGCUGGGAGUAAUCAUGUGGCGGCUUUUGUGUGCACAUGUUGUAUAUGGUGGUAUAAAGCAUCAUGUAGUCCUCGGAGCUGAACUGAGGCUCAGGCAAGCCCUCAAGAAUGUUCUUCAACUUUGUGAUUCCCUUCUGCAUAAACUCCCAUCCUUGUUCCAAGUCAAUAGUCUUCCGCUCGCCCAUUGUCAUGUCGACACAAAUCUCUUGAUCGAAGACCUAAUACUCAAAAAGACCUUACGAAACCCUAAUCUGCUAAUCAGGAAUCAACCCACCCUAGAGAUGAUGGCGGAGGAACAGAGAAGCCGACGGAGCUCCGCCGGAAAAAUCUCAACGGCGAAAAAGAUGAGAAAUGCGAUAGCGGUCGGGAGAGGGUGAAAAAG
RNAcentral lists this unclassified non-coding RNA (465 nucleotides) under Hevea brasiliensis (rubber tree). Lineage: Eukaryota; Viridiplantae; Streptophyta; Magnoliopsida; Malpighiales; Euphorbiaceae. The record is from RNAcentral.